AGAUGAGGAUGAUGAUUUGAACUUGUUUCCCUAUUGGUCUGAUCCCCGAUAUGAUGGCGAUUGGUGAAACUAUGUAUUAGCUCUAUCAAACAGUCC
Molecule: small nucleolar RNA, 96 nt
Organism: Rosa chinensis
Lineage: Eukaryota; Viridiplantae; Streptophyta; Magnoliopsida; Rosales; Rosaceae
Product: small nucleolar RNA Z102/R77
Exons: 1
Source: RefSeq, a predicted model, not a curated record